ACGGUGGGGUCAAGGGUCAGCUCUAGUCACCAUGCUGCAAGACAUGUAGUCAGUGACAAUCAGUCAACUGUGAUACACAGACAGUGCCAAGGCAUCUCCAAGUCUUCAGAUAAAGUACUACACACUACAACCUUGUUAAGAUGGUCAGAGAGCUAGUAGCCUUGCUGAAGGACUGGUGGAAGGUUAUCUUCCUUUACUCAGUCCUCACAACCUUCUACGCUAUCCUGGUCAUCGUCUGGACAUGCUACUACAUCUUCACUUUGCAAUGGCUACGGAGGACGAAACAUGAAGCAUCCAUAAAACCUAGAGUGCUGGGCUGCUCUUGACUGAAUCCCCCCUCUAAACCAGG
Molecule: long non-coding RNA, 349 nt
Organism: Macrosteles quadrilineatus (aster leafhopper)
Lineage: Eukaryota; Metazoa; Arthropoda; Insecta; Hemiptera; Cicadellidae
Exons: 3
Source: RefSeq, a predicted model, not a curated record